Long non-coding RNA from Syngnathus acus (greater pipefish), 668 nucleotides. RefSeq lists it as uncharacterized. The record is from RefSeq and is a predicted model, not a curated record. NCBI's taxonomy places the organism in Eukaryota, Metazoa, Chordata, Actinopteri, Syngnathiformes, Syngnathidae. The transcript is spliced from 3 exons.
CUCUCAUCAGUGCCUCUCCCAGGCAGGGGGCCAGAGACAAAUACUCGAUGCCGACUCAUCUUCCUGGCGAGAUCACAAGUCCUCGCUAUGUUUUUCUUUGUGAUCUCUGAUUGUCUCAUCCUAACAUCAUUGGAGCCGACGUGUAUCACUAUGUCCGAGUAGCUCGUGUUGUUGGAACUACGCUGUUGACGAGACCUAUUGCGAGUCAGCUCCCUAAGAUUAGCUUCUAUGUCGGGUGCUCUGCCCCCAGGAAUACACAUUACCGUGGCUGGAUUUUUAAGCGUAAUAUUUCGGGUAAUGGCGUCACCUAUGACCAAAGUACAAGGGCCAGUAGACCGAGAUGACUUUGGACGGCUAUGCAUCUUACCUGGCUCAUCGCGAUUAGCAAGCCGCUUGGGGCUAAUGCUAACUGGGCUAGCGGGCUGACUACAGUCCGCGUCUCUGUCCGCCACAUCUACUGUUAUCGCGCAAUUCUGCUCUAACUGGCGGACACGUCCCUCUAGCAGGGACAACCUCUCUAAGAGAAGGGUGCAGUUGGUGCACAAAGCCGUACAAACCUCUUGAUCCGCAGCCAUACUUUGUGUCCGAUGAUCGACGGUAGACAAACGGCCACGAAGCCUCCACUCUCUCAGGCACUCCGGCUGUGUAAAGUGUGUUUCAGACUGGAC